Molecule: ribosomal RNA, 417 nt
Filed under: Bacillus coahuilensis m2-6
Lineage: Bacteria; Bacillati; Bacillota; Bacilli; Caryophanales; Bacillaceae
Description: bacterial SSU rRNA
Rfam family: Bacterial small subunit ribosomal RNA
Source: RNAcentral
UUUAUGGAGAGUUUGAUCCUGGCUCAGGACGAACGCUGGCGGCGUGCCUAAUACAUGCAAGUCGAGCGAGGCCUUCGGGCCUAGCGGCGGACGGGUGAGUAACACGUGGGUAACCUGCCUGUAAGACUGGGAUAACUUCGGGAAACCGAAGCUAAUACCGGAUAAUAUUUUUGGUUGCAUGACCGAAAAUUGAAAGGUGGCUUUUAGCUAUCACUUACAGAUGGACCCGCGGCGCAUUAGCUAGUUGGUGAGGUAACGGCUCACCAAGGCAACGAUGCGUAGCCGACCUGAGAGGGUGAUCGGCCACACUGGGACUGAGACACGGCCCAGACUCCUACGGGAGGCAGCAGUAGGGAAUCUUCCGCAAUGGACGAAAGUCUGACGGAGCAACGCCGCGUGAGUGAAGAAGGUUUCGGA